GACGAACGCUGGCGGCGUGCCCAAUACAUGCAAGUAGAACGCACAGUUUAUACCGUAGCUUGCUACACCAUAGACUGUGAGUUGCGAACGGGUGAGUAACGCGUAGGUAACCUGCCUGGUAGCGGGGGAUAACUAUUGGAAACGAUAGCUAAUACCGCAUAAUAUUAAUUAUUGCAUGAUAAUUAAUUGAAAGGUGCAAUUGCACCACUACCAGAUGGACCUGCGUUGUAUUAGCUAGUAGGUGAGGCAACGGCUCACCUAGGCGACGAUACAUAGCCGACCUGAGAGGGUGAUCGGCCACACUGGGACUGAGACACGGCCCAGACUCCUACGGGAGGCAGCAGUAGGGAAUCUUCGGCAAUGGACGAAAGUCUGACCGAGCAACGCCGCGUGAGUGAAGAAGGUUUUCGGAUCGUAAAGCUCUGUUGUAAGAGAAGAACGGGUGUGAGAGUGGAAAGUUCACACUGUGACGGUAUCUUACCAGAAAGGGACGGCUAACUACGUG
Molecule: ribosomal RNA, 505 nt
Filed under: uncultured bacterium
Lineage: Bacteria
Description: partial 16S ribosomal RNA
Rfam family: Bacterial small subunit ribosomal RNA
Source: RNAcentral